This 505-nucleotide ribosomal RNA is filed under the name Rhyparida dimidiata. RNAcentral's name for it is "partial 16S ribosomal RNA". It matches the Rfam family "Bacterial large subunit ribosomal RNA", at positions 1819 to 2600 of the family's 2925-position model. Lineage: Eukaryota; Metazoa; Arthropoda; Insecta; Coleoptera; Chrysomelidae. The record is from RNAcentral.
GUCUUUAAUAGAUUAUAUUUUAAAGUCUAACCUGCCCAGUGAUAUUUAAACGGCCGCAGUAUUUUGACUGUGCUAAGGUAGCAUAAUCAUUAGUUUUUUAAUUGAGGACUGGAAUGAAGGGUUGAAUGGAAAAAUUACUGUCUUCGGAUUAAUAUUUUGAAUUUUACUUUUAAGUUAAAAGGCUUAAAUUUUUUUAAAAGACGAGAAGACCCUUUAGAGUUUUAUUUUAAUCAUUAAUUAUUUCAAUUGGAAUAUAUUAAUUUAGUGAUUUGAAUUUAGUUGGGGUGAUUAUUAAAUAUAGAAAACUUUAAUUUUUAAAAACAUUGAUUUAUGAAUAAUUGAUCCUUAUUUAGAUUAUUAGAUUAAAUUACCUAAGGGAUAACAGCGUAAUUUUUCUAGAGAGUUCUUAUUGAUAGAAAAGAUUGCGACCUCGAUGUUGGAUUAAAAUAUGUAGUUUAGUGCAGAAGCUAACUAACUUGGUCUGUUCGACCAAUAAAAUUUUACA